AGCGAACGCUGGCGGCAGGCCUAACACAUGCAAGUCGAACGAACCUUUCGGGGUUAGUGGCGGACGGGUGAGUAACACGUGGGAACGUGCCUUUAGGUUCGGAAUAACUCAGGGAAACUUGUGCUAAUACCGAAUGUGCCCUUCGGGGGAAAGAUUAAUCGCCUUUAGAGCGGCCCGCGUCUGAUUAGCUAGUUGGUUGAGGUAAUGGCUCACCAAGGCGACGAUCAGUAGCUGGUCUGAGAGGAUGAUCAGCCACAUUGGGACUGAGACACGGCCCAAACUCCUACGGGAGGCAGCAGUGGGGAAUCUUGCGCAAUGGGCGAAAGCCUGACGCAGCCAGGCCGCGUGAAUGAUGAAGGUCUUAGGAUUGUAAAAUUCUUUCACCGGGGACGAUAAUGACGGUACCCGGAGAAGAAGCCCCGGCUAACCUCGUG
This 434-nucleotide ribosomal RNA is filed under the name uncultured bacterium. Its description in RNAcentral is "partial 16S ribosomal RNA". It matches the Rfam family "Bacterial small subunit ribosomal RNA", at positions 29 to 507 of the family's 1533-position model. The record is from RNAcentral.